Molecule: ribosomal RNA, 420 nt
Filed under: uncultured bacterium
Lineage: Bacteria
Description: partial 16S ribosomal RNA
Rfam family: Bacterial small subunit ribosomal RNA
Source: RNAcentral
CCUACGGGUGGCAGCAGUGAGGAAUAUUGGUCAAUGGCCGGAAGGCUGAACCAGCCAAGUCGCGUGAGGGAAUAAGGCCCUAUGGGUCGUAAACCUCUUUUGUCAGGGAGCAAAGGCGUCCACGUGUGGACGAGAGGAGAGUACCUGAAGAAAAAGCAUCGGCUACCUCCGUGCCAGCAGCCGCGGUAAUACGGAGGGUGCAAGCGUUACUCGGAAUCACUGGGCUUAAAGAGCGCGUAGGCGGGAUAGCAAGUCAGAUGUGAAUUCCUAUGGCUUAACCCUAGAACUGCAUUUGAAACUGUUAUUCUAGAUUAUGGGCGAGUUAGGUGGAAUUCUUGGUGUAGGGGUCCAUUCCGUCGAGCUCACGAGGAAUCCUCAUUGCGAAGGCGACCUGCUAGACCAUACCUGACGCUGAUGCGC